AUGGCGGCGAAAGCUGAGACGCACGCGCGUCCGCUCGAGAUGGAGGCCAUCGAGAGCUGCAUUGAUCCAGGAUUCUGGGAUGCCGUCCACUGCCUCAAGCUCGACGUCCUCGGCAUUGACGACUCCCCAGUCCCCAUCACUGGCUAUUAUACUUUGUGCGCACAUUCGAAAAUUCUGGGUCUCGUCAGGCUAUCCUCAAAAUCAUUAGAAGCAUCACCUCCAUUUCAGUCUAGGAACAAUUGUAUAGUUCCGGGGACCCUCAUAAACACUAAUAACAUGUUGGGCUUCAAAAAUCUAGAUGUGGACCUUCUACUCAAAGAAGAAGGAAAAAAGAUAUUUUAUGAUAUUUUAUCCAGUAAAAUUGAAGAGGAUCCUACUCUUCUAUUGAGGUUUCUUGUGAUAUCAUUUGUGGAUCUGAAAAAUUGGAAGGUCUAUUAUGAUGUUGCAUUCCCCUCGUUGGUUUUGAACUCUAAAAUGACUUUUCUCACACUGCAUAGCGCCUCAGAGGUGCUAAGCCAAGAGGAGGUAAUGCACCUAAUAUCACAUAUAUUAUUUUAUCUUUUUAUGAUAGGUAAUGAGUGCCAAGUAUUUACUUCUUUAGGAAACAUUGUUGUUUUCCUUUUUUGGGUCCAUAUAUACUCAGAUUCUUUUGUCGUUAUAAGACAACUUAAGUGCUGGAAAGGUUAUUCGGGCGAUCACCAAAAGCUCCUGUUUGGAUUUUAUGAUCAUGGUCAUCAAGAUUACCCUGGCUGGGCUCUUAGAAACUACAUUGCAUUCCUGAGCCUGCGGUGGAAAAUCGAGAAAGUUCAGUUCUUGUGCUAUAGAGAAAGACAUGGGGAACCUGAUCUAGAGAAGUCCCUUAUUGGUGAAGCAUCAUUUGCAGGACCUCAUGGUAUUAUGAUCGAUCUGAAUAAGAUCUUUACAAUCUCAUUAGCAAUUGUUUUUAACAUUAAAAAGCAGGUGAUGCACUUGAAGCUUAUGGGAUGGCGACAUCCCUCUCUUGUUUUAAACAAGUUGCAUAGCGCUCGAUGCCUUGUGUUGGGUGCUGGAGCUCUUGGCUGUGAAACCUGGGGUGUACAGAAACUAACAGUGGUUGAUGGUGGUUGUGUUGCCAUUCCUGAUGUAGUCAAACAAUCACUCUACAUAGGUAAUGAUUGUGGUGUCCCAAGAGCCACUGCGAUAGUUCCACAUCUAAAAGAGAGAUGUCCUGCAGUGGAGGUUGAAGGCAUCCAGAUGGAAAUACCAGUGCCUGGGAACCCGGUUUCUCCAACCAAAAUGUCAAGUGUUCUUGAUAAUUGCAAGCGCUUUCAAGCAUUAGUAGCUUCCAGUGAUGUGGUCUUCUUGUUGACUGACACAUGGGAGAGUAGAUGGUUUCCAACUCUACUUUGUGCAAACGAAAAUGAGAUCGCUAUCACUUCAGCAUCAGGAUAUGAUAGUUACCUUGUCAUGCGGCAUGGUGCUGGUCCAGGACAUAAUUUAUCUACCGAAGAUGCUCUUGGUCACCGAAGAUUAGGCUGUUGUUUCUACAACAACUCGAGUUCUUUUGUCAAUUUAGUCCUUAACGAAAUAGUAGCCAUGCCUGGGUUGACCUCGAUUGCAUCUGGCAAAGCAGUGGAGCUCUUUGCGAGGAUAUUACAUCAUGAAGAGGGGGUAAUGCCACACAACAUUCUAGGUCAAUUGGUGUCCUAUAAAACCCGCCUUUUAGCUUUUGUGGCAUUCUCUUGGAGAGUUCCGUCAGCACGACAGCAUGGUGACAACGAUGAUGUUCUACCGACACAGGGCUUCGCCUAA
RNAcentral lists this ribosomal RNA (1791 nucleotides) under Triticum aestivum (bread wheat). RNAcentral's name for it is "partial small subunit ribosomal RNA". The record is from RNAcentral. Lineage: Eukaryota; Viridiplantae; Streptophyta; Magnoliopsida; Poales; Poaceae.